GAAAUCUUACUGUCUGAUAGUCUGAAAAAGAAGUUUGAUUCAUCUGGAUCUCCCCAAGCCUCUUCAUAUCAUCAAGUUAUUAGAAAAAAUGUUUGAAUGAUGAAGGACCUUCACCUUCCAGGUGUUCUCUUGCUCAGCAAAAUAAAUAAGAUACAUACAUAGUGCCUAUGGGGUACUAUAACAUAUCUCAAGUUUCAGCAGAACCACAGUAUGUUGGCCAGAAGUGGAGGAUCUCAGCCUUUUCAUUAUUCCUGAAGAAUAUGUACACUGCCUGUAUUUCUUUAAAGGUGAAUGUCUACUGUAUAAAAAUCCUUGGAUGUAUUUUUCAAGCAGAAGAAAAUGUGUUCUUUUACUCUUAUAAAACAAGUAAACACUAUGAGUUACUGUUUAUUAUUGAGAUCGCCUGCAGAAGAAAGACUACUCACAAAACAGAGAAAUAA
This 440-nucleotide long non-coding RNA is filed under the name Cyanistes caeruleus (blue tit). RNAcentral describes it as "lncRNA (ENSCCEG00000014116.1)". Lineage: Eukaryota; Metazoa; Chordata; Aves; Passeriformes; Paridae. The record is from RNAcentral.